UAAUGUAUGGGGAUCUGCCCGAUAGAGGGGGAUAACUACUGGAAACGGUGGCUAAUACCGCAUAAUGUCUACGGACCAAAGCAGGGGCUCUUCGGACCUUGCAUAUCGGAUGAACCCAUAUGGGAUUAGCUAGUAGGUGGGGUAAAGGCUCACCUAGGCGACGAUCUCUAGCUGGUCUGAGAGGAUGAUCAGCCACACUGGGACUGAGACACGGCCCAG
Molecule: ribosomal RNA, 219 nt
Filed under: uncultured bacterium
Lineage: Bacteria
Description: partial 16S ribosomal RNA
Rfam family: Bacterial small subunit ribosomal RNA
Source: RNAcentral